This 446-nucleotide ribosomal RNA is filed under the name uncultured bacterium. Its description in RNAcentral is "SSU rRNA". It matches the Rfam family "Bacterial small subunit ribosomal RNA", at positions 26 to 518 of the family's 1533-position model. The record is from RNAcentral.
AGAGCGAACGCUGGCGGCAGGCUUAACACAUGCAAGUCGAGCGGGCGUAGCAAUACGUCAGCGGCAGACGGGUGAGUAACGCGUGGGAACGUACCUUUUGGUUCGGAACAACACAGGGAAACUUGUGCUAAUACCGGAUAAGCCCUUACGGGGAAAGAUUUAUCGCCAAAAGAUCGGCCCGCGUCUGAUUAGCUAGUUGGUGAGGUAACGGCUCACCAAGGCGACGAUCAGUAGCUGGUCUGAGAGGAUGAUCAGCCACAUUGGGACUGAGACACGGCCCAAACUCCUACGGGAGGCAGCAGUGGGGAAUAUUGGACAAUGGGCGCAAGCCUGAUCCAGCCAUGCCGCGUGAGUGAUGAAGGCCCUAGGGUUGUAAAGCUCUUUUGUGCGGGAAGAUAAUGACGGUACGCAAGAAUAAGCCCGGCUAACUUCGCGCCAGCAGCCGC